GUAUAACCAAGAAAAAAAAAAAAAAAAGGCUGUUUCGCAAGAGCAUCAUUUGAAUUCCCAGAGAUCAGUGCGAAUAGGCUUGCAUUUCCAGCUGCGUUCCCCACAGUGUACUGCCCACGGAUGCAGGAAGAUCACUGUGCCACAGGGACUAGCUUGAGCUGGCAGGAGGAACGUCACCAAGGAGCUUAGGGGAAACGCUUAGCGAGAGUUCCAGGCAAUGCUGCAAAAAGCCUUCUCCGUUGCUUCACACGCUUGUCCUUCGAUGUCACCGUGGGGCACACACAGCCGCACACGUACGUACGUGCAGGCUCCGAGCAGCUGGCAGUGGGCGGGACUUCCUGGUGACUGAGGGAAGGAAUCGCUCCUGAGAAAAGAGAAGUACACGCUUCUGGUGAAUUCUGCCUUCUGUGGCGAAAAUGUGAGGAACUUGGCAAGCUUCCCAAGAAGUCGAGGGCAACAGCUGUAUUGUGGGGAAGCUGAAUAACUCCUUUGCAGCCACCCUGUGUCAGAAACCAGCUGAAGUGGACGCUGAGUGCCAGCUCCACACCUGUGAGAAGCUGUGACCACAGAAGCAGCUGCUGAUACUCUGGGUGAAGAUGGAAGGCUUAUGUGAUUCGAAUCCAUAGUAGGAAUGCCAGACAAGGUUUUGACCCACAGCAGAGUGCACCUGCUGUUAAGUAAGGAGCAUUCUUGCUGUCUACACCAAGGAGGACUGUUGAGAAACGCAGGUCUUUUCAGAGAUGCACUGUGGAAUCCAAUCUGUGUAUUCUCAACCUUGUUACUGUAAAAAAGAAAAAAGAGUGGUCUGGAUAUUCCUGGACUGGCAGAUACUAGGAUGCUUCAGAGGUUGGGGCCCAAAAGGACUAGCAGAAUUCCCAAACUUUCUGAUCUCUACAGAAGAUGAUGUCUGCCAAAAUGCUCUCAGAAAGCCCUUAAACAAAGAAGAUAAGAAACCCAGGACCAAAGUCCCUAAGACUUAGUGUCUUGUUACUCCACAUGUCCCAACUUCUUGAUCUGAAGAUACAACGCACUAAGAAAAAUUGCCAUCCACUUCUCAGAGAAGGACUAUCAUUAUGCGUACCUUAGGUCUUCCUUGACCAAUGCACGGAAAGUGAGCGGUGUUCCUUGAAGAACUGGCAAAGGAAAAGAUGGCAGGGGAAGAAACAUGAGAUAAUUUUCCACAGCGCUGUAGCCGCCUCACAACAAAAGCCUUCAUCUUUAUUAUCAUUAUAACUGGAAUGUUCAACGGUUCCUUGUGUGCGCACACGAUCCAUACAUUACGGCAGCUGUCUUAAGCUUGAGCCCAGUGUCCGCUAUGGCAGCAGCGCCUCUGUGCCCCCGGUAACCCCACUUGCCGGAUGCCUCUUCCUCCACAUCUUCUGUCCCCUGCUGUGGUGUAUGGACCCGCUUCUCCUAUGUCAGCCUCAGAGCUGUCCUGACCCAGCUCCUUGUCUUGCUUUUAAUCAACUUCUCAUCCCUUACCUAAGGCUUCUGCUUACCCGACUGUUGGAGUCGGUUGAGGAAAAUAUAGCACUGUAUUGCACCCUAUGCAAUUUACAAAUAGAAAUUUGUUGUGGAUGUUUUGGGAGUACAGAAGUCCCAAGGCUCAAGCACCAGAAAUUUGUACCUUUUAUGUGUCCCCGCCUGUGGAGGGGCAAACACAACUUUUGUGCCUCUUUUAGGAUGUUAAUGAUAACCCUUAGCCUCUGUCUUCAGAAUCUAGCUAUUUCCAUUUUAAUCCUGUUGUACUAGGACAAUAUCUGAACCUGGAAUCAAAAGACCCUUCCACAGGGGUUGCCUAAGACCAUCAGAAAAUACAGAUAUUUACAUUGUAAUUAUAAUUCAUAGCAGUAGUAAGAUUACAGUUAUGAAGUAGCAACAAAAAUAAUUGGUUCCUCACUACAACGUGAGGAACUGUGUUAAAGGGUCACAGCAUUAGGAAGGCUGACGACCACUGUUCUAGGAAUUAGCGUUCAUCACAUGGCCUGUGGAGGAAAUACAGCAUUCACGCCAUGUCACCUGGUUAUGUAAUCUUCCCUAGUGUUGUUUAUGAUGCUGUCAUUAAAAAAAAUUACUAUGGCAAAAAAAAGCAGCUUCAAAGAGAAUGGGAUUACUUGGCUUAGAGUUCCCGGUUACGAUACACCACAGCAAGAAAGUCAGGACAGGCACCUGAAGCAACAGCUGUAUCACAUCUAAGAACAGAGUGAGGAUAAACACAUACGUACCUAGUACUUACUAAACUAGCUUGCUCUACUCUUUUAGAGGCUGAGAUUCAGACCCAAGGAAUGGCCCUUCCUGGGGUGGUUUCCCCACCUCAUAUAAGUCGAUGGCAGGGGGAGAUUCCUCACGGGCAUGCCCACAGGCCAAACUGAUUUAGACAGUUCUUCACUGAGGUCCUAGACGCAGGUGACUCUAGGCUGCAUCAAGCUGACAAUGAAAACAAUCCUAUCACAUAAUGGCUGGGGACUUCUAUAGUGAACUCCCCAUGGCUACCCUCAAGGAAGGGCUUCUCUCUACUUCACUGUCACCCAGGCUGGGGCCACAGACACCUGAAGAAGAAUGGCCAGACCAUUAGCCAUCACUUUGACCCAUUUUUUUUCUUCAAGGCAUGUAAGCCUUUCACAAUGGAUGCCAUUAUGGAAUUCAGUCAUAGUUCCAACUUGGUACCACCACCAGCUUCUUCUCCCUUCAGGGCAUAGCUGCCUCCAGCUGGUCUCAUCCCUAGAUUAUAUUCUUUCGCUGGAAUCCAGUCCCUGACACACAGGGACAGCUCCUUUCCCAUGAAGCUCCACGGCAUUUAUGACAAUCAGUUCAUCUAAGCAGAGGCCGUGGAAAGGUGUGUCCUAGCCUCACCCCUGGCAUGUGUUCACAUUCUCAAAGAGCAGCUGCCCCAGGCUGGAGAAAUGGCUCAGCAGCUAAUGGAACACACUGACCUCAUCAAGAAGCACAGUUUGGUUGUUCCAAGCUCUCCUAUAAGGAGAGUCACAGUUGGCUCUAAUUCUAGCUCCAGGGAACCCCAGAUCCUCUUCUGGCCACUACAGGCACCUGCACCCACAUGCACAUAUCCCAAGCACACGUGUGUGCACACGCACACAUAAUUAAAAUAAAACACACCUUCAUAAAAAGAAGAAAAAAAAUCUAUUGGUUUAAAAUUUAAAGCACCAGAAAGUUUUGUCUCUUCAGUGUUUAUCAGAGAGGAACUUUCUCUUUGAUCCUUUUAUAUCAGUGGAAUUAGGCUCUUUCAAUAAACUCCAAGACAUGAGGCUGGAGGGGGAGGUUUUAUAUAUGUAUGUGUACACACACACACACACACACACACCUGCACACACCUUGGGGUUUUACUGCUGUGAAGAGACACCAUGACUAUGGCAAUCCUUAUAAAAGAAAACAAUUAACUGGGGGUAGCUUCCAUUUCAGAUUUAGUCUGUUAUUGUUAUCAUGGGAAGCAUGGUGGUGUGCGGGCAGACAUGGUGUGGAGAAGCAGCUGAGAGUUCUGCAUCCACAUCAGCAAACAGCAGCAAGAGACAGUGAGCCACUAGGUAUGGCUUGAGCUUCCGAAACCUCAAGGCUCAAAGUGACAUACUUCCUACCAUAAAGACAGCUCUUCAUAAUAGGGCCAUUCGUAGGCCCCGGGGCCAUUUUCAUUUAAACCACCGUGUGUGUGUGUGUGUGUGUGUGUGUGUGUGUGUGUGUGUGUGUGUGUUGCAGUCAAAUGUUUGAGAUCUGAGCUCCUCACUGAUAAACUCUUGAAUUCGUACGAGUCCAAGAUAAGUUGGUACCAGUUCUCCAAAGCAUGGUUCAUAGGGAUAGAGGCUGCCAGCGAGUGUCUACAUUACGUUCGCUCUAUAAACAGCAUUAUCGUGUUUAAUAUGAUAACAGCCUCACAAGUCAGGUGUUAGCAGCCCCAUUUUUAGAAAGUUCUCUCAAAAUGUCAAGACAGUUGCCUAAAGUCAUUAACAAGUAAAGAAAGAACUGAACCCAUGAAGCCUGCCCUUGAUGUCGUGGCAUGAGGCAGCGCUUGGAUGCAGAGGCAGGACUGUGGGUGCCAGGGCAGCCUCAGCAGCAUAGCAGAAGGAGGGAGCCGGCCUGGAUUAUAGAGUGGGAUCGAAUCUUAAGAAAAAAAACAAGCAUCAGGGGUCGGGGGAGAGGGAAAAAAAAAGAAAAAACAAGCGUCAUCGAGGAUGGAGAGAAGACUCAGAAGUUAGAACACUGGUUGCUCUUCCAGGGGGCAUGGGUUCAAUUCCCAGCACCCAUGUGAUAGGUUACACCUGUGUGUAACUCCAGUUCCAGGAAAUCCCAGCCCCUCUCUUUGCUCCUGAUGAUACGAUGCAGAGAUAGGUAUACAUUUAGGCAAAGUACCUAUCCACAUAAAAUAAUGAAAAUAUUUAGAAAUUAAAGAAAAAAACUAAGUCAAACUGAAAGCCUUGUUCUGGCCACUGUUGAGUUGCCUUUCCACCUUGACUGAAGUGUGCAGGGUGAAGCUGCCUCCCUCUGUCUAGUCUCGCUGCCUUUAGCAUUCUUGCAAUGGUUUCUUGAGGUAGACUAGAGGUCUGUAACAUCCACUUUUACUUGUCCGUGGUGUGCCCAUUUCUGCUGACAUGGCUGGAAAUCUAGAACCCCAUUUUCCAGUCUUACAGCUGAGACCCUAACUGCAAAAUUAGGCUCGACUUGUUUGCACAAGAACAGGAAGUCAGUAGUGAGGUCAAAGCCAUUUUCCUGAUUCAGCUGUAACCAGUCCCAUACAGGACAUGGAUGGAGUCUUGGGACUUUCUAAAGCAGUGACUCAGGGUUCAGUUACUAAAGUCACGAGUAUCAAGAGAUAGUGGAGAUGACCGUGACAGGGACUCUCCGACGAGAGUAAAGCCAGUGCAAUGUGUCCACGCAGUUGAUGCCUCCUCGUGUCCCACCUCCACAGUGGCGAUGGAGGUGGGACCAGCCCUUCAGAGGCUUGUCCAGCCUGCCCACAUAAGCACCUGCUUCUCUCUCGUCAAUGCCUUUGUGCUUAAAAUAGUCGCUGUGGUUUCUGCUUCCUGCAAGAGAACACUGCUGAUACCAACCCUUUUCCUUCUUUUCCUCUUAACUGCUGAGUUCUGCAACUGCCAGCCCUGCAACGGAUCCUGCGAACACCAAGAUGAUGGCUCUGGGUAUCUCCACUGCUCCCCGUCUCCCUUGCCCUGCUUUACUGUCCUCUGUCACCUUUGCUGUCCCCCAAAGGUUGCUACUAAUUGCUUGAAUGGUUCCCACCCACUCACAGCUGGAAUAAAAGUUCUCUUAGACGUUCCAUUCACUUCCCUGUGGCUUUACCACCUAAGACCAGCACACACUGGGAACUUGAUAGUGCUGAAUGAAUGAAGUCUAUGUCUCUUCAUAAAACAUACCACGCCUAAACAAAUGGAUUAGCAAUAGACUCAUCAACAAUAAAUAAACAUAUAAUAACACUUUCUCGCGAAGCUUAAUUUCUUUUAACAUCUUCAAAAGGAGCAUAACACAUAUACAUAUAUGUUCUGAUUUUAACAUAAUAUUCAGGGCAACCUAUGGUUUACCUGAAACAGUUCCAACUUCAACAGUGAAGAGUCUCCAUCCUAUAGAACCUCUCCAUUCUGGGCAGGUUUAGACCAUUAGUUACCAAAUUACCAUCAUGAGCUGCUAAAGAAAACCACUUAGAAUUAAACCACUUAGAAUCAGUCCUGCAAAUAGAACCUUAAAAACAUGCUGGACCAUCCAGUGGCUUCCUUCCCUGUCAUAGCCUGGUUACCAUGUGAUCCCCUAAAGUCACUAGUUAGAAUCUGAGCGAUCGUUUUUUGUCUGUAUUUCACAU
Long non-coding RNA from Alexandromys fortis (reed vole), 5818 nucleotides. RefSeq lists it as uncharacterized. The record is from RefSeq and is a predicted model, not a curated record. The transcript is spliced from 3 exons. Lineage: Eukaryota; Metazoa; Chordata; Mammalia; Rodentia; Cricetidae.